AUGUUUCUGAGCGGAAGGGGCGGGGCAAGGGGAGAAGAUGAACGGGGGGAGGGGAGGGAUGCCCUUUGCAUCCAGCGCGCCUGCGCAAACCAGUUGUGUGGGAGCUCACGCCUUCAUGCUUUCCCUCGCUUGGGCUGGCGCGUGCGGUGUCGUCGGCCUCGCCUCGCCUCGGCGNUGACCUGCAGGGAGGCGGGUGUCGAAUGGCAGCAAACGAGUGUGAGGCUAGGGUUGAGCAGAAGGAGUGGGGACAUGGGCGGAGCUUGCAUGUUUCUGAGCGGAAGGGGCGGGGCAAGGGGAGAAGAUGAACAGGGGGGAGGGGAGGGAUGCCCUUUGCAUCCAGCGCGCCUGCGCAAACCGGUUGUGUGGGAGCUCACGCCUUCAUGCCUUCCCUCGCUUGGGCUGGCGCGUGCGGUGUCGUCGGCCUCGCCUCGCCUCGGCGGCGCCCGCCUGUUGGUUCUUUGUCGGCUUCCCAGCUGCCGUGUGACCCCCUGGGCCUGCAGCCCGGCCGCCACCUGGUCCACUUGCAGCCCCGCCGCCGCCGCCAGCGCCCCAAAUAGUCGUUGCGUCCUGAAAGCCGAUAAAGAAUUUCAGGAUGACGAACACGACCGUGGGAACAGCAGCGAGAGGGCAGACUUGGUGACGGAGAUCCGGACAUCGAGUGUAUUUUAUAGGAGUGAAUGCAUGCAUCUUAGUGACACCAGCAUUAGGAGGAGUGAUUCCAACUUUUUACCCCAAAAUAACUCUUCAGCAUCAUUCUUUACAUGACCAUUUAUCUUUGAAGAAUGAACUUCUCUUCAGGAUCUAUUUUUGGGAAUGAACAAUGCCUGGUUAGCCAGACCAACCUGUCAAUCAGUGAGGUGACAUAGUCCAGUUGUGUAUAAACCCUAAAGGUCUAAAUCACUAAGAUUUUAUGAACAUUUUUGCUAAUAUUAUGAAGCUUGGCCACGUUGUGUAUCAUAAUGGGCAGUUGCCUUGCUGUCUGAAGACUUUUUUUGGCUACUCAGAAACCUCUUUUCUUGAUAUGUGGCCACAUAGUUUUUUAAUUGUCAAAGAUUUAUUUUGAAUGUGUUUCACAUAUCAUAUAGAAUUUAUCGUUUCCCUAAAAUAAGGAUUAUUCUUUAUUUAAUUUUUUAAAGUUUUAUUUAUUUAAGUAAUCUCUACACUCACCAUGGGGCUUGAACCCAGGACUUCAGGAUCAAGAGUCACAUGCUCUUCCUGAGCCAGCCAAGCGUCCCAAGGAUUAUUCAUUUUUAGUGAGGUGGAAAAACACUGAUUUAGUCACCCACAGUUAUUAUUAAAGCUAUUAAGAAUUGUUGGUCAACUCUUACAGUAUUAUUUCCAUAGCUUCUGUAAAAUCAAUCUGCUCAAUAGCUUUCCCAUAAUUUAGGUUAUUUGAAUUAAGAGUGGCCAUAACAGUUGGCAAAUGUACAGUGCUUUAAUUUUAAAAGGAUUUUUGCAUGGAUGAUACCAUUUGAUGCGCCCAAUAACUCUUUAGUGGCACUCUUUAAGUGACAAAGCAGGGUUUUUUUCUUUUGUUUUAUUUUUUUUCUCAUUUUACAGAUAAGAACCCGAGGCUCAGGGAGAUUAAAAGAUUGGUCUUAAAAUGAGUAAGUAGUAGAACUGGGUCCUGAAACUUUCUUCCUGACUGCCAAGUGCAGGCUCAGAACGUCCCUCUACUCUAGUUGAUUCUUUUAAGUAUCUUCCUAUUAAUACGCAUGAUGCUCCUUUCCAUUGGCUUCAUUGUUUUUUCAGCACAGGGGCUUCC
This 1765-nucleotide long non-coding RNA is filed under the name Vulpes vulpes (red fox). RNAcentral describes it as "lncRNA (ENSVVUG00000018347.1)". The record is from RNAcentral. Lineage: Eukaryota; Metazoa; Chordata; Mammalia; Carnivora; Canidae.